UCAUGUUCUCACACCAAUAACUGAGGAAAAGGAAAAUAACAACUGAUUCCCUCAGUAACGGCGAGUGAACAGGGAAAAGCUCACAGUUGGAACCUAGCUGCCUUAGGUAGUUCGGAUUGUAAACUGAAAAAGUGUUAUCCAGGCUAGCCGAGUAAAUAAGUUUCUUGGAAUAGAACAUCAUGGAGGGUGAGAAUCCCGUCUUUGGCUUGAGCAUAGUCUUUUGUGUUGCACUUUAACGAGUCAGGUUGUUUGGGAAUGCAGCCUAAAGUGGGAGGUAAAUCCCUCCUAAAGCUAAAUAUUGGCGAGAGACCGAUAGCAAACAAGUACCGUGAGGGAAAGAUGAAAAGAACUUUGAAAAGAGAGUUAAACAGUAUGUGAAAUUGCUAAAAGGGAAGCGUUUGAAGACAGACUAGCUUGGUUAUAAUCAGCCUGGAUUUUUCUUGGUGUACUUGUAGCCUAUGCUUGCCAACAGCAGUUUGGUCUGGCUGAAAAAACUAGUAGUAAGGUGGCUCUCUUCGGGGAGUGUUAUAGACUAUUAGAAAAUCAGUUGGACUGGACUGAGGAAUGCAAUGCAGCUUGCCUUGGGGUGAACCAGAUUGGAUAGGAACCAUUGUUCCUUGAAGGUUUGGGUAGCUCUUCGAACUGUAUUUAGGUUGUUGGCUUAAUGUCUUWAAACGGCCCGUCUGAA
This 688-nucleotide ribosomal RNA is filed under the name Circinella muscae. RNAcentral describes it as "eukaryotic LSU rRNA". It matches the Rfam family "Eukaryotic large subunit ribosomal RNA", at positions 1 to 657 of the family's 3401-position model. The record is from RNAcentral. Lineage: Eukaryota; Fungi; Mucoromycota; Mucoromycetes; Mucorales; Lichtheimiaceae.